Long non-coding RNA from Branchiostoma floridae (Florida lancelet), 711 nucleotides. RefSeq lists it as uncharacterized. The record is from RefSeq and is a predicted model, not a curated record. Lineage: Eukaryota; Metazoa; Chordata; Leptocardii; Amphioxiformes; Branchiostomatidae. The transcript has 3 exons.
GCCAUUGACCACUUCUAGGCACUAAACAACGCUCACUGUGGCAGCAUCUCGCCUCCCUAAGUCAGAAGCAUCGACAUCGCUUUCCUAAACCGCCCGCCCGCACGUCAUAUCACUUCAGAAGCGGUUGGACGACCAGGAGCCGUCCCUAGCCACUGGCUAUUUGACAGCGUGUCAAAAGGUCACACAGACCAACUGGUCACAACAGGGACUGGAUCUACUUCAGGUGGCCAAAAAGGACCAUAUUCAUAAAAAUAUACGUUGUGGGAUGAUAAUUCCAAGCUACUAACAAGUUAGAAGAACGUAAAGACGAUGGAUUUUCAACGAAGCACGUUUCCAUGUUGCUUCAUCAGUCACAUUUACGGCAGAGGACUGGAUAAAUUGGUGUACUGGAUCUACGCUUGGAGCAACACAUCAGGACGACGUCUGUCACAGAGGGAACGGCGCAGUGAUAGUGAGACGUUUGAUGUGUGUGCGGCAAAGACAUAAGAAAGCUGUUGCAGCACAAGAACGUCGGAGUCAACAUGCAGUACAUGACGCUGGUGACAGGGGCCGCUGUUCCCGUCCAGGCUGGUGACCGACUAAUUAUGGAAAUCGAGAGCGCACGUGACUGUACCAUGUACUUCCUAAGGUCAGAUCUUGGUAAGAAAGCGAAGCAUUGUACAGUCGACCCGUACAAGUGGCCACUAUGGGUGGAUACCGGUACAUGUCCAG